UUCUGAAAGAAAAGAGAAAGUCUCCACUAAUCCAUUCAUGCGCAAGAAAAUAAGAAUUAGUCUAUGUUUAGAGACGCGAGACCAAAAUUAUAUAGAUUGGAUCAGUACUUAUUUUUGUGUUUAUUUGCUAAUCUGUGGUGCAACUAAGAUUAUUAGAAGUGGACAAAAUCAAAUGCAUGAAAAUGAAACUAAGAAGAAGGAAAUAAACAAUAUCAAGGAUUCCUUCCCUACAACUUUUUAUCCUUAAUCUCCAUUAGCAUAUCAGAUAGCCAAACCUUCAUAAAUUCUACAUAACUGAAGACUGUGAAGCAGUUUUUAACCAUGGACAACUAUUUUUACAGCUUCAAAGAAACUUUAAAGAAAUCUAUAUUGAAUCUAUUACUACAUUCUUUUUGUUUUUUCCUUCUGCUUAUGGCUCCAUUUUCCGUGACAAACUUCAAAGAACUUUAUAGUAGGUAGCUCAUGUUUUAACUAU
Molecule: long non-coding RNA, 475 nt
Filed under: Carica papaya (papaya)
Lineage: Eukaryota; Viridiplantae; Streptophyta; Magnoliopsida; Brassicales; Caricaceae
Description: long non-coding RNA (CPAP_LNC012048)
Source: RNAcentral